AAAGUCGUAACAAGGUUUCCGUAGGUGAACCUGCGGAAGGAUCAUUAAAGAGUUUUUGAGGGUGAUUGUCACACACACACACACACUGUGUGUAUGUGUGUGAUAUAUCAUGACCUUUGCGUAUGUUGUGUUUGUCUGUGUUACCAUAUUAUUACUAAUGAGAGACAACUUUUAACAAUGGAUCUCUUGGUUCUC
This 195-nucleotide unclassified non-coding RNA is filed under the name Basidiomycota sp. RNAcentral's name for it is "partial contains small subunit ribosomal RNA, internal transcribed spacer 1, and 5.8S ribosomal RNA". The stretch from base 1 to 47 matches the Rfam family "Eukaryotic small subunit ribosomal RNA", at positions 1785 to 1831 of the family's 1831-position model. Lineage: Eukaryota; Fungi; Basidiomycota. The record is from RNAcentral.